ACACACAGGAACAAGAAAAACCUCUAGGUGUGAAAAGGAAAGCGUCGUAGUUGACUUGUAAGUCUUCCUUUCGCUGAAAAAUGAACACCCGAGGGAUUUCUCUCUUUUGCUGUGCAAAUUCGCAAGGAAGAGAAAAAAAGCUCCAGUCUUUUUUCUCACUUCUUGAUCUGAAAUCAGGUAGGACUACCCGCUGAACUUAA
Molecule: unclassified non-coding RNA, 200 nt
Filed under: soil metagenome
Description: partial contains internal transcribed spacer 2 and large subunit ribosomal RNA
Source: RNAcentral